UGAAGUCAGUCGUACCGACGCGAUUCUCUUAUCGUGCGAAGCUUGUGGGCGUGCGUGAGUUUCGGUUUGCUGUUUGUUGUUUGUGCGUUUUGGGUGUACUUUUUCGUACUGUAUGUUACGUCAGUUUUGCUUAAUUAAAAUGACCUGCGGCACGUAGCUUCGCUUUCGGUCAAGUGUUAUAGCCUCCUGUAGGGUGGUGAUUGAGCCCGCUGGUGCAACGUAUACCUUUUGGGCUAUCCGUCCUGUUCUGAAAGUCGCUCAGGUGCCGAAAGCGUGCUUACGGUCAUCUAAGCUAACGUUCAACAUGUUAGAACGUGAUUACAUUCGUUAAUGUGUUGACGUA
RNAcentral lists this ribosomal RNA (343 nucleotides) under uncultured Glomeromycotina. RNAcentral's name for it is "eukaryotic LSU rRNA". The record is from RNAcentral. Lineage: Eukaryota; Fungi; Glomeromycota.